This 233-nucleotide ribosomal RNA is filed under the name Francisella tularensis subsp. holarctica. Its description in RNAcentral is "partial 16S ribosomal RNA". It matches the Rfam family "Bacterial small subunit ribosomal RNA", at positions 464 to 696 of the family's 1533-position model. The record is from RNAcentral. Lineage: Bacteria; Pseudomonadati; Pseudomonadota; Gammaproteobacteria; Thiotrichales; Francisellaceae.
GGGGGAGGACGUUACCCAAAGAAUAAGCACAGUCUAACUCCGUGCCAGCAGCCGCGGUAAUACGGGGGGUGCAAGCGUUAAUCGGAAUUACUGGGAGUAAAGGGUCUGUAGGUGGUUUGUUAAGUCAGAUGUGAAAGACCAGGGCUCAACCUUGGAACUGCAUUUGAUACUGGCACACUAGAGUACUGUAGAGGAAUGGGGAAUUUCUGGUGUAGCGGUGAAAUGCGUAGAGA